This is a long non-coding RNA of Homo sapiens (human), 1701 nucleotides long. Ensembl annotates it as Pvt1 oncogene. Its record names the gene PVT1. Lineage: Eukaryota; Metazoa; Chordata; Mammalia; Primates; Hominidae. The record is from Ensembl.
CGCGCUCCUCCGGGCAGAGCGCGUGUGGCGGCCGAGCACAUGGGCCCGCGGGCCGGGCGGGCUCGGGGCGGCCGGGACGAGGAGGGGCGACGACGAGCUGCGAGCAAAGAUGUGCCCCGGGACCCCCGGCACCUUCCAGUGGAUUUCCUUGCGGAAAGGAUGUUGGCGGUCCCUGUGACCUGUGGAGACACGGCCAGAUCUGCCCUCCAGCCUGAUCUUUUGGCCAGAAGGAGAUUAAAAAGAUGCCCCUCAAGAUGGCUGUGCCUGUCAGCUGCAUGGAGCUUCGUUCAAGUAUUUUCUGAGCCUGAUGGAUUUACAGUGAUCUUCAGUGGUCUGGGGAAUAACGCUGGUGGAACCAUGCACUGGAAUGACACACGCCCGGCACAUUUCAGGAUACUAAAAGUGGUUUUAAGGGAGGCUGUGGCUGAAUGCCUCAUGGAUUCUUACAGCUUGGAUGUCCAUGGGGGACGAAGGACUGCAGCUGGCUGAGAGGGUUGAGAUCUCUGUUUACUUAGAUCUCUGCCAACUUCCUUUGGGUCUCCCUAUGGAAUGUAAGACCCCGACUCUUCCUGGUGAAGCAUCUGAUGCACGUUCCAUCCGGCGCUCAGCUGGGCUUGAGCUGACCAUACUCCCUGGAGCCUUCUCCCGAGGUGCGCGGGUGACCUUGGCACAUACAGCCAUCAUGAUGGUACUUUAAGUGGAGGCUGAAUCAUCUCCCCUUUGAGCUGCUUGGCACGUGGCUCCCUUGGUGUUCCCCUUUUACUGCCAGGACACUGAGAUUUGGAGAGAAUCCUGUUACACCUGGGAUUUAGGCACUUUCAAUCUGAAAAAAUACAUAUCCUUUCAGCACUCUGGACGGACUUGAGAACUGUCCUUACGUGACCUAAAGCUGGAGUAUUUUGAGAUUGGAGAAUUAAGGCCAACAGAGAUUUUGAGAAACACAUUGAAGGAUCUGUUAACACUUGAUAUACCCAAUAAAAGCAGUGGUUGUGCCAGUGCUGAUCUGUCUUGAUGUGAAUGUGAACAAUGGGAACCUGAGCUGAGCAGUUAAUGCUAGGGUGACAGAAACUGGACCUCUCCCAAGACAUGUGACAGAGUAAUACAGCAGCCAACUUCUUCGCCAAAUUAAAGUUUUACAAGAUUUAACCUGUCAUCAAGACCUGGGAUUUUGGUGAGCCAGUCUUGGUGCUCUGUGUUCACCUGGUUCAUCUGAGGAGCUGCAUCUACCCUGCCCAUGCCAUAGAUCCUGCCCUGUUUGCUUCUCCUGUUGCUGCUAGUGGACAUGAGAAGGACAGAAUAACGGGCUCCCAGAUUCACAAGCCCCACCAAGAGGAUCACCCCAGGAACGCUUGGAGGCUGAGGAGUUCACUGAGGCUACUGCAUCUUGAGACUCAGGAUGAAGACCCAGCUUGGGGCUGUCAAAGGUUUUUUGCAUGUCUGACACCCAUGACUCCACCUGGACCUUAUGGCUCCACCCAGAAGCAAUUCAGCCCAACAGGAGGACAGCUUCAACCCAUUACGAUUUCAUCUCUGCCCCAACCACUCAGCAGCAAGCACCUGUUACCUGUCCACCCCCACCCCUUCCCCCAAACUGCCUUUGAAAAAUCCCUAACCUAUGAGCUUUGAAUAAGAUGAGUACGAACUUCAUCGCCCACGUGGCGUGGCCGGCCUCGUGUCUAUUAAAUUCUUUUUCUACUACAA